UACGUAGGGUGCAAGCGUUGUCCGGAAUUAUUGGGCGUAAAGAGCUCGUAGGCGGUCUGUCGCGUCGGCUGUGAAAACCCGAGGCUCAACCUCGGGCCUGCAGUCGAUACGGGCAAACUGGAGUGUUGCAGGGGAGACUGGAAUUCCUGGUGUAGCGGUGAAAUGCGCAGAUAUCAGGAGGAACACCGGUGGCGAAGGCGGGUCUCUGGGCAACAACUGACGCUGAGGAGCGAAAGCGUGGGGAGCGAACAGG
This 253-nucleotide ribosomal RNA is filed under the name uncultured bacterium. Its description in RNAcentral is "partial 16S ribosomal RNA". It matches the Rfam family "Bacterial small subunit ribosomal RNA", at positions 524 to 776 of the family's 1533-position model. RNAcentral also lists the same sequence under 1 other name. The record is from RNAcentral.